Molecule: long non-coding RNA, 401 nt
Filed under: Equus caballus (horse)
Lineage: Eukaryota; Metazoa; Chordata; Mammalia; Perissodactyla; Equidae
Description: lncRNA (ENSECAG00000056408.1)
Source: RNAcentral
GGGGUAGUAGGAUUUCUGGGCACUGUCGCGGGCCCAGUUGAGGGUGGAGACUGUGACUUCACGGUGACCCAGCCUGCUUAGCAUUAUGGAAAGUCCACAGCAAGGCCACGGGCAUGGGCUGGAGUGGAGGAGAGGCCCCGAGGAUGGGAGCCCAGGAUGUGAGAGGCCUGGAGUUGGACAGCCAGAGGGUCCUGUCACCUAUAGUUUCCCCUGCUAGUUCACCUUGGCUAUCCAGAGAAACUCGAGGAGGUGGAAGAAGCCUGGGCCUUAAUGUGGUGACCACAGGAACUCAGCACAGUGCUCGUGGGGCGCGUCAUGGUUAGGGGGGAACUCUAUAAGCAGAAUUCCAGCCCUGCAGCAGCCUGAUUCUCCCCUGUUUGAGGGGACUGUUCCACACGGAG